Molecule: long non-coding RNA, 336 nt
Filed under: Elaeis guineensis (African oil palm)
Lineage: Eukaryota; Viridiplantae; Streptophyta; Magnoliopsida; Arecales; Arecaceae
Description: long non-coding RNA (EGUI_LNC033995)
Source: RNAcentral
GUCAAUGAGUCGUUUGUACUAGCUGCAUAAGCUGCUCAAGUGUAUUAUACUCUUUUUCCAUCAAAAAAAGAAGAAAGAAAGAUUGGUGGGCUAUAUGCAAAAUUAAGUCUCGAGUUGUUCAUUAUACACUCAAAGAAGAAGAAGAGUCUCAAUUACCAGAAUGCUUUCAAGAGGAUGAGAUAGUAGGAGUUCAUCAAUCCUUUGAUGAUGUGGAAUUGGAUGCUCCAAAAAUUCUCCUAUGUGAAGAUGGCCAGCAUGAGGAGGUAGAUCCAACUGACAUUGUUUUAAAGGAUAAUCCUCCUUAAGAAGGGGAAGAAGAGGAAGAAGAAGAGGAAG